AUUGAACGCUGGCGGCAUGCUUUACACAUGCAAGUCGAACGGCAGCGCGGGCUUCGGCCUGGCGGCGAGUGGCGAACGGGUGAGUAAUGCAUCGGAACGUGCCCAGUAGUGGGGGAUAGCCCGGCGAAAGCCGGAUUAAUACCGCAUACGACCUGAGGGUGAAAGCGGGGGACCGAAAGGCCUCGCGCUAUUGGAGCGGCCGAUGUCGGAUUAGCUAGUUGGUGGGGUAAAGGCUUACCAAGGCGACGAUCCGUUGCUGGUCUGAGAGGACGACCAGCCACACUGGGACUGAGACACGGCCCAGACUCCUACGGGAGGCAGCAGUGGGGAAUUUUGGACAAUGGGGGCAACCCUGAUCCAGCCAUGCCGCGUGCGGGAAGAAGGCCUUCGGGUUGUAAACCGCUUUUGUUCGGGAAGAAAUCCUCUGGGCUAAUACCCCGGGGGGAUGACGGUACCGGAAGAAUAAGCACCGGCUAACUACGUG
Molecule: ribosomal RNA, 484 nt
Filed under: uncultured bacterium
Lineage: Bacteria
Description: partial 16S ribosomal RNA
Rfam family: Bacterial small subunit ribosomal RNA
Source: RNAcentral